RNAcentral lists this ribosomal RNA (265 nucleotides) under uncultured bacterium. Its description in RNAcentral is "partial 16S ribosomal RNA". It matches the Rfam family "Bacterial small subunit ribosomal RNA", at positions 793 to 1055 of the family's 1533-position model. The record is from RNAcentral.
GUCCACGCCCUAAACGAUGUCAACUAGUUGUCGGGGAUUCGUUUCCUUGGUAACGCAGCUAACGCGUGAAGUUGACCGCCUGGGGAGUACGGCCGCAAGGUUAAAACUCAAAAGGAAUUGACGGGGACCCGCACAAGCGGUGGAUGAUGUGGAUUAAUUCGAUGCAACGCGAAAAACCUUACCUACGCUUGACAUGCCAGGAACCUCGAAGAGAUUUGAGGGUGCCCGAAAGGGAACCUGGACACAGGUGCUGCAUGGCUGUCGU